RNAcentral lists this long non-coding RNA (328 nucleotides) under Hordeum vulgare. RNAcentral's name for it is "long non-coding RNA (HVUL_LNC002818)". The record is from RNAcentral. Lineage: Eukaryota; Viridiplantae; Streptophyta; Magnoliopsida; Poales; Poaceae.
AAAAGGAGGCGAAGCCCCGGCCUCUGCAUCGAAGGAUGCAUACGGCCAUAUAUUAAAAACGAUCCCAAUUCAUCGAAUAGUACAAAUAGUCUCCAAAAAAAAGAGAGAGAAAGAUACACGGCGUCCAACUCGCCACAACCGGGGUGCAUAAAAAUAAGCCUAGAUGACUAACCACCUAUCCUAUUAAUAUGACGCCAUCCAAACCGGUUGAAGAUAACCCGAGCUACCAUCUCCCAUCGGACACACCCAGUAACCAAAGGCUCUCUGGCUUUCACAGGAGUGAGUAAUGACCAUGUGCGGAUCAAGGCAGUAGCCCUGAAAAUGACCU